GUUUCGGGGCGGAGUGCAAUUCUCCACCGGCGGUGAAAGUCCGCGAGCCGCAUAGGCUGAACCGGUGCAAUUCCGGUACCGACGGUAUAGUCCGGAUGAAAGAAU
This 105-nucleotide non-coding RNA is filed under the name human gut metagenome. RNAcentral's name for it is "FMN riboswitch (RFN element)". It matches the Rfam family "FMN riboswitch aptamer (RFN element)", at positions 8 to 131 of the family's 138-position model. From Rfam's summary of the family: The RFN element is a highly conserved domain that is found frequently in the 5'-untranslated regions of prokaryotic mRNAs that encode for flavin mononucleotide (FMN) biosynthesis and transport proteins. This element is a metabolite-dependent riboswitch that directly binds FMN in the absence of proteins. RNAcentral also lists the same sequence under 2 other names. The record is from RNAcentral.